This 495-nucleotide ribosomal RNA is filed under the name uncultured bacterium. RNAcentral describes it as "partial 16S ribosomal RNA". It matches the Rfam family "Bacterial small subunit ribosomal RNA", at positions 29 to 506 of the family's 1533-position model. The record is from RNAcentral.
AUGCACGCUGGCGGCGUGCCUAAUACAUGCAAGUCGAGCGCACAGACGAGGAGCUUGCUCCUCUGACGUUAGCGGCGGACGGGUGAGUAACACGUGGAUAACCUACCUAUAAGACUGGGAUAACUUCGGGAAACCGGAGCUAAUACCGGAUAAUAUAUUGAACCGCAUGGUUCAAUAGUGAAAGACGGUUUUGCUGUCACUUAUAGAUGGAUCCGCGCCGCAUUAGCUAGUUGGUAAGGUAACGGCUUACCAAGGCGACGAUGCGUAGCCGACCUGAGAGGGUGAUCGGCCACACUGGAACUGAGACACGGUCCAGACUCCUACGGGAGGCAGCAGUAGGGAAUCUUCCGCAAUGGGCGAAAGCCUGACGGAGCAACGCCGCGUGAGUGAUGAAGGUCUUCGGAUCGUAAAACUCUGUUAUUAGGGAAGAACAAAUGUGUAAGUAACUAUGCACGUCUUGACGGUACCUAAGCAGAAAGCCACGGCUAACUACGU